This 293-nucleotide long non-coding RNA is filed under the name Elaeis guineensis (African oil palm). RNAcentral's name for it is "long non-coding RNA (EGUI_LNC038174)". Lineage: Eukaryota; Viridiplantae; Streptophyta; Magnoliopsida; Arecales; Arecaceae. The record is from RNAcentral.
GGCUCCAUCGGGAUGCGUUGUAAUAGGAAGCAGUGGUGCUAUCUUGCAUCUGAGUUCUCACCAUCUUCUUGUCCCUUCAAAAAGUGGAUGACAAGACCUUCAAUGCCAUUUCGUUGCUGCAAAUCUCCAGACAGACAUUGAUCAUUGACCAAUGUGCUUGGGUCAAGUUGAUAAGACACUCCCCCCCGAAGAAACCCAAAAUGAAAGUCCACAUGUGUAGAGGUGCUCCGAUGGGAGACCCUCUGAUGCCUAAGUUAAUCAAAGCUGGAGAAUGAAAAAAAAGAGAAGGGAAG